RNAcentral lists this ribosomal RNA (776 nucleotides) under uncultured Neocallimastigales. Its description in RNAcentral is "partial large subunit ribosomal RNA". It matches the Rfam family "Eukaryotic large subunit ribosomal RNA", at positions 22 to 643 of the family's 3401-position model. The record is from RNAcentral. Lineage: Eukaryota; Fungi; Neocallimastigomycota; Neocallimastigomycetes; Neocallimastigales.
UAGAUGCGAGAGUAGAGCAUAUCAAUAAGCGGAGGAAAAGAAACUAACAAGGAUUCCCUUAGUAACGGCGAGUGAAGCGGGAAGAGCUCAAAUCUGAAAUCUUCAAGGUUCUACCUUGACGAAUUGUAGUUUAAAGAAGUGUUUUCUGUUGGAGUUUUGGUAAAAGUUCUCUGGAAUAGGACAUCAUAGAGGGUGAGAAUCCCGUAUUUGACCAUUCCUUUCUAGCUGUGUGAUACACUAUUCAAAGAGUCGGAUUGUUUGGGAAUGCAGUCCAAAAUGGGUGGUAAAUUUCAUCUAAAGCUAAAUAUUGGCGAGAGACCGAUAGCGAACAAGUACCGUGAGGGAAAGAUGAAAAGAACUUUGAAAAGAGAGUUAAACAGUACGUGAAAUUGUCAAAAGGGAAGCGUUUGACACCAGUGUUGUUUUUCCGAAAAUCAAUUAUAAAUGUUUUGUUUCUGAGGAGUGAUGACUUCAUCGGCUUCCUUCUCUCUUCACGAAACUUUUGUAAUGCACUUUUCGGUUAACAAGUCAACAUCAAUUUCUUUUGUUGUAAAAGAGUAUUCGGAAGGUGGCUUUCUUUUCGGAGAAAGUGUUUAUAGCCCUAUACUUCUACAAUCGGAGAGAUUGAGGUCUGCAGCGUAGAUCCUUCGGGGUUAGAUACAUUUGUGCUAAGUUAUAGCUUUUCAUAGACAACUUGUUGACUAUGUUUAGUCUUGUAGCUUACUCGCUUAUGCUAUUUUACCUACGCUUAGGAUGUUGACACACGCGCGUGCUCG